AUCAAAUAUUCUAUAAAAUAUAAAUACACUGAACUCAUUUGGAUAUAUUUAAGUGAGACUCGACAAUAUUGUUUGACACAAAUCUAUCUAAAUCAAAAUUUUAAUCAUUUUCACGCCAAACAUUUACUGGACUGAUUUAAAUAUUCAAAUCACUCCUUUCUAAUCCUCUGCUGUACGUUCAAACCUGAGGCCUUAAACAGAAACACACAAGUAUCUGUUUGAAGGAACUUCUGCAGAGUCCUGGUUCCAGAACAUGAUGAUAGAAUUAUAGACAAACUUUAACAAAAGCUGCCUGAGAGUUUACAGGUUUUUAUGUUAGAUUUCUUCAGUAAUUUAAUGAGAGUUAUCAGCAAAAAUCAAGUGUUCAUUUGAUGAACUUCAUUUCCUAAAACAUCCAGAAUUGGAGCUCAUAUCUUUGGCAGCUGUAAAGUUUCUGCUCCUUCAAAGUUCACAACACAAUGAAUGAAUUCCUAAAACACUCUCAAUGCUGGAGAGCGUUUGUGAUGCUGAAGCAGUGAGCAGUUUUUCUGUUUCUUCUCUGGAGAUGCACAAUGAGGGACGUCUGCAGAGACUGAGAAAGAGUCUCACCACAUCCUGACAUGAGGAAAAAGACUUUAUUGAAGACUACAAUGAGAAAAACUAUCAGACAGCAGACGGCUGCAUUCAAGGCUACAGGAGGAGCCCUACGAGGACGAGCCGGUCCACCUGAUGGAGGCCAGUCGCUGCGGUUCAAAGCCAACACUGACUACGUGGACUUCUACUGGACCACACGGAGGCCUUCAAACCGGACCAACAAGUUCAGCGACUCCCCGACUCGUGGGUCUGAGGACGCCGCCGAGCCUCAGCCCAGCUGGCCUCCUGUCUGUGGGUGUUUGAGUGCUGAGAGGUUUGUGGAUGUGAACG
This is a long non-coding RNA of Amphiprion ocellaris (clown anemonefish), 903 nucleotides long. The record is from Ensembl. NCBI's taxonomy places the organism in Eukaryota, Metazoa, Chordata, Actinopteri, Pomacentridae.